GUGCUCGCUGCGCUAGCACAUAUACUACAAUUGGAACAAUACGGAGAAGAUUAGCAUGACCCCGUGCAAGGAUGACACGCAAAUUCAUGAAGCGUGCCAUAAUCUU
This is a small nuclear RNA of Echinops telfairi (small Madagascar hedgehog), 106 nucleotides long. Lineage: Eukaryota; Metazoa; Chordata; Mammalia; Afrosoricida; Tenrecidae. The record is from Ensembl.